RNAcentral lists this ribosomal RNA (36 nucleotides) under Clematis chinensis. Its description in RNAcentral is "partial 26S ribosomal RNA". The record is from RNAcentral. Lineage: Eukaryota; Viridiplantae; Streptophyta; Magnoliopsida; Ranunculales; Ranunculaceae.
CAGGUCAGGCGGGAUUACCCGCUGAAUUUAAGCAUA